RNAcentral lists this ribosomal RNA (250 nucleotides) under uncultured bacterium. RNAcentral's name for it is "partial 16S ribosomal RNA". It matches the Rfam family "Bacterial small subunit ribosomal RNA", at positions 524 to 773 of the family's 1533-position model. The record is from RNAcentral. RNAcentral also lists the same sequence under 1 other name.
UACGUAGGGGGCAAGCGUUAUCCGGAUUUACUGGGUGUAAAGGGAGCGUAGACGGAUGGACAAGUCUGAUGUGAAAGGCUGGGGCUCAACCCCGGGACUGCAUUGGAAACUGCCCGUCUUGAGUGCCGGAGAGGUAAGCGGAAUUCCUAGUGUAGCGGUGAAAUGCGUAGAUAUUAGGAGGAACACCAGUGGCGAAGGCGGCUUACUGGACGGUAACUGACGUUGAGGCUCGAAAGCGUGGGGAGCAAAC